GAUGGAGACCAGUCACCCUGAGCACCCCUGAUUGCAUCGGAUCUCGGAAGCUAAGCAGGGUCGGGGCUGGUUAGCACCUGGAUGGGAGACAUGUUGCUCGUUAACUGUGUCCAGAGGAACUCGGUUGCCCUCAUCA
Ribosomal RNA from Mustela putorius furo (domestic ferret), 136 nucleotides. The record is from Ensembl. Lineage: Eukaryota; Metazoa; Chordata; Mammalia; Carnivora; Mustelidae.